This 491-nucleotide ribosomal RNA is filed under the name uncultured bacterium. Its description in RNAcentral is "partial 16S ribosomal RNA". It matches the Rfam family "Bacterial small subunit ribosomal RNA", at positions 29 to 506 of the family's 1533-position model. The record is from RNAcentral.
AGUGAACGCUGGCGGUAGGCCUAACACAUGCAAGUCGAACGGCAGCACAGUAAGAGCUUGCUCUUACGGGUGGCGAGUGGCGGACGGGUGAGGAAUACAUCGGAAUCUACUUUUUCGUGGGGGAUAACGUAGGGAAACUUACGCUAAUACCGCAUACGUCCUACGGGUGAAAGCAGGGGAUCUUCGGACCUUGUGCGAUUGAAUGAGCCGAUGUCGGAUUAGCUAGUUGGCGGGGUAAAGGCCCACCAAGGCGACGAUCCGUAGCUGGUCUGAGAGGAUGAUCAGCAACACUGGAGCUGAGACACGGUCCAGACUCCGACGGGAGGCAGCAGUGGGGAAUAUGGGGCAAUGGGCGCAAGCCUGAUCCAGCCAUACCGCGUGGGUGAAGAAGGCCUUCGGGUUGUAAAGCCCUUUUGUUGGGAAAGAAAAGCAGCAGGUUAAUACCCCGCUGUUCUGACGGUACCCAAAGAAUAAGCACCGGCUAACUUCGU